RNAcentral lists this ribosomal RNA (253 nucleotides) under uncultured bacterium. RNAcentral describes it as "partial 16S ribosomal RNA". It matches the Rfam family "Bacterial small subunit ribosomal RNA", at positions 524 to 776 of the family's 1533-position model. The record is from RNAcentral.
UACAGAGGGUGCGAGCGUUAAUCGGAUUUACUGGGCGUAAAGCGUGUGUAGGUGGCCGCGUAAGUCGGUUGUGAAAGCCCUGGGCUCAACCCGGGAAUGUCAGUCGAUACUGCGUGGCUAGAGUUCGGUAGAGGACGGCAGAAUUCCCGGUGUAGCGGUGAAAUGCGUAGAGAUCGGGAGGAAUACCGAUGGCGAAAGCAACCGUCUGGGCCUGAACUGACACUGAGACACGAAAGCGUGGGGAGCAAACAGG